Molecule: long non-coding RNA, 1483 nt
Organism: Siniperca chuatsi (mandarin fish)
Lineage: Eukaryota; Metazoa; Chordata; Actinopteri; Centrarchiformes; Sinipercidae
Exons: 3
Source: RefSeq, a predicted model, not a curated record
AAGCAAUACUGACGACUUUUACUGUAUCAUGUUCAUCUUAAAAGGGAUUUAUGUGGGCAUUUAUAUUUUCAUAUUAAAAUGAAAAAUGUUCUACCCAUUUCUAUAAAUCCUCGAUUACUACAAAUAACAAUAUAAUCACGAGUUUAACUUUUGCACAGAAUAAAAAAAAAAAAAAAAAAAAAAACGAUAUAUAAAAAAAAAAACGGACUCUUUUUUGUAGCAUCCCAAACAGCUAUAGCAGAAUAGUAAACAUUAAACCUCUAUGACACCUCAGGGACUAAAUUAUUUUCUUUGUCAUUAGAUAACUACCACAAUGAGCAAACAGGAGAACAGAUACAGCAGGAAAAGCACUACGUUUUUGCAUAGCACCAGUAGAGGCUGUGCAAAAAAACCGGAUGAGACAGAAGAGGCAGAGCUGAGGCAAGGAGCAGAACACUCUGGGCAUUAUGGGAGUAACCUGCAAUUAUUUUAUAGCUCUUAAGAUUCCUGAGCUCUUAGUCAGUGUUUACCGUGCAAGGGCACGGCAAGGCCACAAAUUACAACCACUUGCUUUGGCACCAAAUGCUUAACAGUCACGCACAGGCCCGAGCUUUCUCUCAAAGUAGCAGACAGGCCGAGAAUAGAAAGACAAAAAGUUAAUGGAUGGAAGGUUGCCAUUAGGUAAUUUUUUUGUUUUGCCUUUUGUCAUGUGAUCACCAGAAUCUGUAACACUAUAGUCUUUUUAGACUGCAUAAUCCAAUAACAGCUAAUUCUAUUCAAUUCACUCAAGCGAGUGACAACAACUCUUUUAACCUGAAGUGAAGCCAUGUGGUAAAAGACCACAACCAGCAGGUCAAACCAGCAGAAGAACAAGGCAGUCGAAGUGCACAGCAGACACAGUGGCCACAGUGUUGUUUUCCAGGUCUGUGCAGAGAAUUGUGAAAGACUCAUCAUGUGACGCAGUUGGCUAUCUUCAGCCACGACUUCUCCAAAAGCUCAACUGCCACGGCGAGUGUGACGUAAGCAGGACAGAAAACCGCAACAACGAAAGCCUCAUGAGCGGUUGAGAAAGGAGCAACAAUUAUGUGGCAACCGGAAAGCUGCUCCACUGUGCCCCUGGGGGGGGAACAAUGCUGCGCUCUCACCCUCCUGCUACUGAGAUGGAAGCCAUUGUUAAACACAGCCCCAAGGAGCGCCAGGAACAUGUUUUAAGAGGAUCAUUAGGAGGAAAAUUUCAUGUUUUGUCCCCCUCUGUUAAGUGUUUGCUGAAGCUGAUUGUAGCUCUUUGUAGUAUGAGCAGGAAAUAGUAUUAAAAUGAGAAAAGUCAAGAUCCGCAUGGCCUCCACUUUCUUUAAAUGAUAUCUAAUUAUAAUCAACAUCUUAACUUGCAAAGACAACCCAAAAUGGAAGUGACAGUAUGUGAUUAUUAUACUUUCUUUUCUAUGAUUUGUGUAUUCAGUUUUUAUUUUCAAUUUCUCAUGUUUCAAAAAUCUAGUAUUGUUUG